AUGGGCCGCCCAGCAUCCGGAGCUGCCUGUAAAGUUCCUCUCAGCGCCUGCAGAAGCUUUGUAGAGGUGCAGCUGACUGUGAUCAGGGGCUUUAUUUGUCUGUGGAAUCUGGGAGCCAGUGGGAGCCAGUGUGAGAAAGGCGAGGUGUACAAGCCUGCCGUCGGAAGUGUUCCAAUCCAAGUUUCUGGAAUUUCAAGCUGCAUGGCAUUAGCUGGCUUCCCGGGACGCCAUUGUGCUCAUACUGAAGCCUAGUAACUCCAUCAAAUUCCCUGCACCAGGCGGGGGCCCUCACAUGCCUAAGCCCUGUCUGCUCGCAUGAGAGCCCCGCAAAUCACCUCUGUGCUCAGGCCUGGCCAGACAUGCCUUGCCCCUAUUGGCCUCCUCCAGCCUCACUCCAGGUCUGGCGAAGCGGAAUGAGGUU
This 421-nucleotide long non-coding RNA is filed under the name Canis lupus familiaris (dog). RNAcentral's name for it is "lncRNA (ENSCAFG00030001393.1)". The record is from RNAcentral. Lineage: Eukaryota; Metazoa; Chordata; Mammalia; Carnivora; Canidae.